UUGCUUUUCAAAUGCACAAAUGAGGUAAAUGUAAAAGCACUUGAUAGUUCAGUGCUAUUUUGCCAUAUGGUGCGUGCAUUUAUUUAUUUAUUUAUUUUAUGGUGUAUAUUGUAGUAAGUUCAUUUUUUUUCUCUUUAAAAUUUGUUUAUUUCAGUUAUUUGAUUCGUAAUAAAAGAAUGCUUAAGAGCAUCACUGUCCACCUGCUUUAUUAUUAUUAUUAUUAU
RNAcentral lists this unclassified non-coding RNA (224 nucleotides) under Hevea brasiliensis (rubber tree). The record is from RNAcentral. Lineage: Eukaryota; Viridiplantae; Streptophyta; Magnoliopsida; Malpighiales; Euphorbiaceae.